This 200-nucleotide long non-coding RNA is filed under the name Elaeis guineensis (African oil palm). RNAcentral's name for it is "long non-coding RNA (EGUI_LNC054471)". Lineage: Eukaryota; Viridiplantae; Streptophyta; Magnoliopsida; Arecales; Arecaceae. The record is from RNAcentral.
CUGAGUCGAACUAAAUCUAAUUCAAUUAGAUUUGUUCCAAAGCUCUUUACUCAAUCAAAUUGAGUCAAUUUAGUAAUCUAAUUACUAUUUAAUUCUAAAUAAAUGGUAGAGUCCUAGUCCUAGUGGGACUCUCCCAUAGAGUUUUAGUCCAAGUAGGACUCUUCACUAGAGUCACAAUCCAAUUGGACUUUUCAGCUAUC